GAUUGAACGCUGGCGGCAGGCCUAACACAUGCAAGUCGAACGGUAGCACAGAGAGCUUGCUCUUGGGUGACGAGUGGCGGACGGGUGAGUAAUGUCUGGGAAACUGCCCGAUGGAGGGGGAUAACUACUGGAAACGGUAGCUAAUACCGCAUAACGUCUUCGGACCAAAGUGGGGGACCUUCGGGCCUCACACCAUCGGAUGUGCCCAGAUGGGAUUAGCUAGUAGGUGGGGUAAUGGCUCACCUAGGCGACGAUCCCUAGCUGGUCUGAGAGGAUGACCAGCCACACUGGAACUGAGACACGGUCCAGACUCCUACGGGAGGCAGCAGUGGGGAAUAUUGCACAAUGGGCGCAAGCCUGAUGCAGCCAUGCCGCGUGUAUGAAGAAGGCCUUCGGGUUGUAAAGUACUUUCAGCGGGGAGGAAGGCGAUGGAGUUAAUAGCUUCAUCGAUUGACGUUACCCGCAGAAGAAGCACCGGCUAACUCCGUGCCAGCAGCCGCGGUAAUACGGAGGGUGCAAGCGUUAAUCGGAAUUACUGGGGCGUAAAGCGCACGCAGGCGGUCUGUCAAGUCGGAUGUGAAAUCCCCGGGCUUAACCUGGGAACUGCAUUCGAAACUGGCAGGCUAGAGUCUUGUAGAGGGGGGGUAGAAUUCCAGGUGUAGCGGUGAAAUGCGUAGAGAUCUGGAGGAAUACCGGUGGCGAAGGCGGCCCCCUGGACAAAGACUGACGCUCAGGUGCGAAAGCGUGGGGAGCAAACAGGAUUAGAUACCCUGGUAGUCCACGCCGUAAACGAUGUCGACUUGGAGGUUGUGCCCUUGAGGCGUGGCUUCCGGAGCUAACGCGUUAAGUCGACCGCCUGGGGAGUACGGCCGCAAGGUUAAAACUCAAAUGAAUUGACGGGGGCCCGCACAAGCGGUGGAGCAUGUGGUUUAAUUCGAUGCAACGCGAAGAACCUUACCUACUCUUGACAUCCAGCGAAUUCGGUAGAGAUACCUUAGUGCCUUCGGGAACGCUGAGACAGGUGCUGCAUGGCUGUCGUCAGCUCGUGUUGUGAAAUGUUGGGUUAAGUCCCGCAACGAGCGCAACCCUUAUCCUUUGUUGCCAGCGGUCCGGCCGGGAACUCAAAGGAGACUGCCAGUGAUAAACUGGAGGAAGGUGGGGAUGACGUCAAGUCAUCAUGGCCCUUACGAGUAGGGCUACACACGUGCUACAAUGGCGCAUACAAAGAGAAGCGACCUCGCGAGAGCAAGCGGACCUCAUAAAGUGCGUCGUAGUCCGGAUUGGAGUCUGCAACUCGACUCCAUGAAGUCGGAAUCGCUAGUAAUCGUAGAUCAGAAUGCUACGGUGAAUACGUUCCCGGGCCUUGUACAC
This 1371-nucleotide ribosomal RNA is filed under the name uncultured bacterium. RNAcentral's name for it is "bacterial SSU rRNA". It matches the Rfam family "Bacterial small subunit ribosomal RNA", at positions 27 to 1388 of the family's 1533-position model. The record is from RNAcentral.